Molecule: long non-coding RNA, 385 nt
Organism: Acanthopagrus latus (yellowfin seabream)
Lineage: Eukaryota; Metazoa; Chordata; Actinopteri; Spariformes; Sparidae
Exons: 4
Source: RefSeq, a predicted model, not a curated record
CCCAGUUGGUGUGCCAUUCACGCAACACUGGAUCUUGUUGACUUUCAGCAAUAUGUGGACACCUCUCCGUCCAAUGCAGUUCUAGUAACCUUGAAAGGGGAAAGCCAUUAAAGGAAUGGCGAUAUCUAGGAACAGCUUGUCCAUUGUUGCCCUUCUAGUGACACUUACUAUUUUGGAAACAGACAACAUCACUGAAUAUUCAAGUCCAGCAUCACUGGUAAACAAUGAACAAGAACAUGUUCCACCUCACACCAAGGAGAAAAGGAAUGUGCUUACAGGCCAAUGGAAUUACAUCAUUGAUGCUGUAGUGAAAGCCCCUAAUGCAGAAACAUUUGAGCGUAUUGUGUCUGCCUUGAAAGCUACAGUUCUUCCCAUACAACUUGAU